Molecule: ribosomal RNA, 253 nt
Filed under: uncultured bacterium
Lineage: Bacteria
Description: partial 16S ribosomal RNA
Rfam family: Bacterial small subunit ribosomal RNA
Source: RNAcentral
UACGUAGGGUGCGAGCGUUAUUCGGAAUUACUGGGCGUAAAGCGCGCGCAGGCGGUUUGCUAAGACAGAUGUGAAAUCCCCGGGCUCAACCUGGGACCUGCGUUUGUGACGGGCGGGCUGGAGUGCGGAAGAGGGAGGUGGAAUUCCUCGUGUAGCAGUGAAAUGCGUAGAGAUGUGGAGGAACACCGAUGGCGAAGGCAGACUCCUGGGCUAGCACUGACGCUCAGGCACGAAAGCGUGGGGAGCAAACAGG